UUUUUCUAUAAAGUAUAACAUACUAUUAUAAAAAUAUUAUCUCCAUUAACGGUUUAAAUUUCAACCUCUAAAGUAAUAUAUGUGCUAUCAACUAAUCUAAAUCUAUGGAACAAAACAAUAAUGAAUUUAGAUCUUCGAGAACAUAUCUUGUUCUUCUAAUCUACAGAGUAAAUGAAAAAAAGAAAAAAGAAAUAGAAAUAAAAAUAAAAAGAGUAUAGUUUAGUAAUUAUUGAUUACCUACUAAGCCAGCGCCAGUAGCAACGGUACGCUGUUCCCAUGUCUGGGUAUCCAUAGUCAGAUCUGAUCUCUCUCUCGCGCGCGCUCUCAGGACAGAAGGAUGAGGCUUGGGGAAUGGAUUUUCAAGCUUACUAACAAUGAAGCUUACCUCUCUCUCUCGCGCGCGCUCUCUCAGGAGCGGAAGAAAGCCAAAAGGGAAGUUCUGCGUCCUCACCUUUCAAUCGAGCAACUGCGUAAGGAAGGAAGGAAGGAUGGAUAGAUCUGAGAUGGAUAUCUCUCUCGCGCGCGCGACAGAAGGAUGAGGCUUACUAACAAUGAAGGGGAAUGUGGAUAGCGGAGGAAGUAAAGGUUCUCUCUUGGAGAUGGAGUGUGGAUAGGUUGAAGAUCUCCCCGUGUUUAUUUUACGAAUGGACUUGGGACCCGGGAAGUUGUUUCAAUCGCUAGUUUUUUACUGCUGGUGCUUGCCUUCUUUUUGUUUGGGUGCUGUGCUUCUUGUUGUGGGUGUGCUGUGGUGCUUUGUCCAGCUGCGUUUUUUGUUCUGCGUGGGUGUUGGUUGCAGUAUUGUUUUCCAGUUUGGUUGGGUGUUGGUUGUUGUUUCUAUUGUUUAGGCUUCUGUUUCCCUGUUAGCUUAGGAGUUUUUUGGUUGUAGGAGGCUUGUUUUCCUUUUGUUGUGGCUCCUGUUUCUUUUGCUGCUUUUUUGUAUCUUGCUCCCUUUCUUGGCAUGUCUUAUGCCAUGUUUUGUGAAUGAAUUUUGGGAAUGAAGGGUUAUGGACUUUAAGUUUUACUCUCUCAGUUUCUCAAUGAAGGGGAAUGAAUUUGAUUUUUAUGAACUUUAAGUUUCUCUCUCUCAGUUUCUCUCUGGUUAUGAACUUUAAGUUUUACUAGCUAGUACUAUUCUAUGAUGAACUGAGUAGAUUUUUAUUUUGAUUUUGAUUUUAGUCUCUUCCUCUGAAGAAUCAUUUUUAAUUUUUGUUUUUCCUUGUAUGUGUUAUCUAGUUUAAGCUUCAUAGCUUCCUCUGAAUAGAAAGAAUCAUUUAAUUUGUUUCAUGAUAUUGCUACUUUUUCUUCUACUCACCAAAUGUAAUCUCCAGCUAUUUUUGGUUGUUUGGUUGCUUUCACUUUCAUUUGCCCAGUUUAUGCUUUAAAUUUGUACGUACUAAUGGUACUAUGUCUUUCCUCAUAUGGAUUUCUACUCUUUUUUUAAAUAAAAAAUAAAAAAAUUCAAAACUAUUCGUAAAAAUUUAUGACUUUGAUAUUGACAAGAAUUUUGGAGUUUCAUACUACUACUACUAGUUUAUAGGUUCUGACUUCAAGUACAAAGUCAAAAGUCUCAUAUUGCUUUGACCUUAAUAUACUUUGUAUUUUUCAUCCCGUGAGUGACAUGACAUGGCAUAACUUACACUUGUUAAUUACUCUUGUUGCUCAAAGUCAAGAAUCUUAGUCAACUCUUAUAUACUGUACAGUACAUACUAGUAGUACAUACAUAUAUAGUGCAGUUUUUUAGAAUCUUAUUCUGAUAAUAAUAAUAAUCAUGAGUUGCCUCCUAGAAUCUGUUUAUUUCAACUUUUUAUAUUUUUUUUUUCUGAUUUUUUGUUUAUGAUUUUGAAGGAGGGAUAGUUUUAUCACCCAUGGAGCUUUUUGUGAUGCUUUGGCUGUGGAGAAUGCAAAAUCUCAUAAUCAAGCUGUUGGGAAAGCUAAUUGAGAAUCUGAUUCAAAGGUUUUGACUGAUGAUUUAUUGCCACCGGUGUGGGCGCUGACGCCGGCUCCUAUAACAACUCCUCAGUCAAAUAAGUGGUGUGUCCUCUGCUAUGGAGGUGUUAUUGUUUGUUUCUGUGAUCUUGGUGUGUGGUAUUUUUUGUCUGCUAUUGUUUUUUGUUGUGACUUGUUUUAGUGAGAAACAAGAUCAAGUGACAUGAGAUUCAGGGGAUGCUAAUUAAGUAAUGAAAUUAAUCACUUAAGAGGUGUUUUUUGUGUGAUUGUUGGAUCUAAAAUUAUGCAAUGGUUGACCAAGAAACUACAACUUUGUCCAGGGUUCAAGGAAAGAGUAAUCCAUAUGAUUCCUCCCUUGCUGCACAACUUUGCAUUCCAAUCAUAAAUGACCUACUGGUUGAGAUAAAAAACCAAAGCUACCAUGAACAAUGUUUUUUGAAUAUAGAUGUGCCAAACAAUGUUACUAACCAUAAGAUGUGUUGUUGAAAGCUUACCUUUUGAGAUCAAUGAUCUACCAAAUGUUUGCUCCAUGGUUGACCCUUAUUCUGAUAGUUUGAAGGAUGCAGAUGCAGAUGCAGUGGUACCAAUUGCAAAGCACAAGUCAAUUUUGGUUUUGGUUAUUAUAAUUUGUUCAUACAUUUGGUUUUUCCUUUUUUAUGGCUUUGAAAUGUACAUUGUUGUUUGACCUCUUGAUUAAAUGUAUCUUUAGAGUGCUGAAUCAAUACUAUCAUUGAUGCUAAUGAAGAGGUUUUUAAAUCAUUACAGGUUCAUGUUGAUGUGAUGCAGUGAGCUAGCUACAAGAAAAGGUAAGGAGUCUACUGCUUUGCUUCUUUGAAAAAUGAAGUUUAGAGAAAGAAUUAUUAAAAUACUAUUGUCCUUAUUUCAAAACUUUGAAUUUUUUUUAAAAAAAUUAUUAUUAUGAUUCUGUUAGUACCUUUCUGGGAAAACAAACUGAACUAGGAAUGUUAAGCCUUCCAAGUUGAAAGCAUGAAAGUUCAAGAAAAGCUUUUUCAGAGGUCUGCAACUUAUGUUAUGUUAUUGUUAUAUUAAGUUGUAUAGGAAGUUGGAAAUAGAACCAUGGCUCAAGAGAAUGAUGGCUGCCAAGUUUCCACAUUGAAUGACUUGCUUUUAUUUUGAAAAUUUGGAUUGAUUUAAUUUCUUAUUGAAAUUUUUGUUGGAGCAAGAAAUGAUGCUUCUGGAGUUUAUGCACUUGCUUUUAUGAGGUGUAUGAUUAAUGUUUGUUCUUGAAAUGUAAUUUAUAGAUAGAUACCAUAAGAACUGGAAUUGGCACUUUGGAAGCAAGAGUAUUAGUUAUUUUUUA
Trifolium pratense (red clover) is the source of this 3268-nucleotide long non-coding RNA. RefSeq lists it as uncharacterized. Lineage: Eukaryota; Viridiplantae; Streptophyta; Magnoliopsida; Fabales; Fabaceae. The transcript is spliced from 2 exons. The record is from RefSeq and is a predicted model, not a curated record.